RNAcentral lists this ribosomal RNA (465 nucleotides) under uncultured Arsenophonus sp. Its description in RNAcentral is "bacterial SSU rRNA". It matches the Rfam family "Bacterial small subunit ribosomal RNA", at positions 338 to 795 of the family's 1533-position model. Lineage: Bacteria; Pseudomonadati; Pseudomonadota; Gammaproteobacteria; Enterobacterales; Morganellaceae. The record is from RNAcentral.
CCUACGGGAGGCAGCAGUGGGGAAUCUUGCACAAUGGGCGCAAGCCUGAUGCAGCCAUGCCGCGUGUAUGAAGAAGGCCUUCGGGUUGUAAAGUACUUUCAGUCGUGAGGAAGGUGUUAAGGUUAAUAACCUUAGCAAUUGACGUUAGCGACAGAAGAAGCACCGGCUAACUCCGUGCCAGCAGCCGCGGUAAUACGGAGGGUGCGAGCGUUAAUCGGAAUUACUGGGCGUAAAGGGCACGCAGGCGGUUAAUUAAGUUGGAUGUGAAAUCCCCGUGCUUAACCUGGGAAUGGCAUUCAAGACUGGGUAGCUAGAGUAUUGUAGAGGGGAGUAGAAUUCGAUGUGUGGCGGUGAAAUGCGUAGAGAUGUGGAGGAAUACCGGUGGCGAAGGCGGCCCCCUGGACAGAGACUGACGCUCAUGUGCGAGAGCGUGAGGAACAGACAGGAUUAGAUACCCAGGUAGUC